RNAcentral lists this ribosomal RNA (444 nucleotides) under uncultured bacterium. RNAcentral's name for it is "bacterial SSU rRNA". It matches the Rfam family "Bacterial small subunit ribosomal RNA", at positions 337 to 797 of the family's 1533-position model. The record is from RNAcentral.
UCCUACGGGACGCAGCAGUGGGGAAUCUUGCACAAUGGGGGAAACCCUGAUGCAGCGACGCCGCGUGAGUGAUGAAGCCCUUCGGGGCGUAAAGCUCUUUCGGCAGGGACGAAACAUGACGGUACCUGCAGAAGCAGCUGCGGCUAACUACGUGCCAGCAGCCGCGGUAAUACGUAGGCAGCGAGCGUUGUUCGGAGUUACUGGGCGUAAAGGGUGCGUAGGCGGUCUCUCAAGUUCGGUGUGAAAUCUCCCGGCUCAACUGGGAGGGUGCGCCGGAAACUGAGGGACUCGAGUGCGGGAGGGGAGAGCGGAAUUCCUGGUGUAGCGGUGAAAUGCGUAGAUAUCAGGAGGAACACCGGUGGUGCAAACGGCUCUCUGGACCGUAACUGACGCUGAGGCACGAAAGCGUGGGGAGCAAACAGGAUUAGAUACCCGGGUAGUCCC